ACAUUCUGUUACUCAGAAGCAUACUUUGUUCUAUUUGACUAAUUUCCACUCUCCCCAAAUAUGUAUUCUUGCAGUCAGAUCUUUACACAUGUAAAGAAGGUGUCUUAACUCGUAAUCCAGCUUGGACUAACCCUUUAAAUCCAGUGAUAGAUCUGGGACCUGAAUUUCAAAAGGGUGGUGACUUUCAAAGUCGCUUCAAAUCCAUUCCAAGCAUCGUUGGUUUAGAUAGUUUGACCGUGAGAGGCAAUGUGUGGUUUGGAGCUAAUAUUACUUUCAAGGGGCAAGUGGCUAUUACUGCAAAACCUGGCUUGAGACUGGAAAUUCCUGAUGGGGUGGUGAUUGAGAAUAAGGAGGUCAAUGGCCCUGCAGCCAUUCAAGAAUGAAUGGUUUAUCAAAGCUACUAGGUUUUUUUUUGAGUGAAUACAAGACUAUAGAAGCUUUUAUUUGAACCUUGCUAGCUUUUUUGUUUCCUGGGAACUAAGGUUCAGAAGCAAAUGAGCUUGCAUUUCUCCUUUUGAGCAUCGCAGCAGUGAUAAAACAACACUAAUUGGUUUGUAUCCUAUAAUUUUUGGGACAAGUCUUGAUCUCAAUCGAAACAAGGAAUAAUAGGUAUAUCAUCAAUUUUUCUGGUCUU
Molecule: non-coding RNA, 634 nt
Organism: Arachis ipaensis
Lineage: Eukaryota; Viridiplantae; Streptophyta; Magnoliopsida; Fabales; Fabaceae
Source: RefSeq, a predicted model, not a curated record